This 1384-nucleotide ribosomal RNA is filed under the name Lactiplantibacillus plantarum. Its description in RNAcentral is "bacterial SSU rRNA". It matches the Rfam family "Bacterial small subunit ribosomal RNA", at positions 61 to 1411 of the family's 1533-position model. The record is from RNAcentral. Lineage: Bacteria; Bacillati; Bacillota; Bacilli; Lactobacillales; Lactobacillaceae.
GUCGAACGAACUCUGGUAUUGAUUGGUGCUUGCAUCAUGAUUUACAUUUGAGUGAGUGGCGAACUGGUGAGUAACACGUGGGAAACCUGCCCAGAAGCGGGGGAUAACACCUGGAAACAGAUGCUAAUACCGCAUAACAACUUGGACCGCAUGGUCCGAGCUUGAAAGAUGGCUUCGGCUAUCACUUUUGGAUGGUCCCGCGGCGUAUUAGCUAGAUGGUGGGGUAACGGCUCACCAUGGCAAUGAUACGUAGCCGACCUGAGAGGGUAAUCGGCCACAUUGGGACUGAGACACGGCCCAAACUCCUACGGGAGGCAGCAGUAGGGAAUCUUCCACAAUGGACGAAAGUCUGAUGGAGCAACGCCGCGUGAGUGAAGAAGGGUUUCGGCUCGUAAAACUCUGUUGUUAAAGAAGAACAUAUCUGAGAGUAACUGUUCAGGUAUUGACGGUAUUUAACCAGAAAGCCACGGCUAACUACGUGCCAGCAGCCGCGGUAAUACGUAGGUGGCAAGCGUUGUCCGGAUUUAUUGGGCGUAAAGCGAGCGCAGGCGGUUUUUUAAGUCUGAUGUGAAAGCCUUCGGCUCAACCGAAGAAGUGCAUCGGAAACUGGGAAACUUGAGUGCAGAAGAGGACAGUGGAACUCCAUGUGUAGCGGUGAAAUGCGUAGAUAUAUGGAAGAACACCAGUGGCGAAGGCGGCUGUCUGGUCUGUAACUGACGCUGAGGCUCGAAAGUAUGGGUAGCAAACAGGAUUAGAUACCCUGGUAGUCCAUACCGUAAACGAUGAAUGCUAAGUGUUGGAGGGUUUCCGCCCUUCAGUGCUGCAGCUAACGCAUUAAGCAUUCCGCCUGGGGAGUACGGCCGCAAGGCUGAAACUCAAAGGAAUUGACGGGGGCCCGCACAAGCGGUGGAGCAUGUGGUUUAAUUCGAAGCUACGCGAAGAACCUUACCAGGUCUUGACAUACUAUGCAAAUCUAAGAGAUUAGACGUUCCCUUCGGGGACAUGGAUACAGGUGGUGCAUGGUUGUCGUCAGCUCGUGUCGUGAGAUGUUGGGUUAAGUCCCGCAACGAGCGCAACCCUUAUUAUCAGUUGCCAGCAUUAAGUUGGGCACUCUGGUGAGACUGCCGGUGACAAACCGGAGGAAGGUGGGGAUGACGUCAAAUCAUCAUGCCCCUUAUGACCUGGGCUACACACGUGCUACAAUGGAUGGUACAACGAGUUGCGAACUCGCGAGAGUAAGCUAAUCUCUUAAAGCCAUUCUCAGUUCGGAUUGUAGGCUGCAACUCGCCUACAUGAAGUCGGAAUCGCUAGUAAUCGCGGAUCAGCAUGCCGCGGUGAAUACGUUCCCGGGCCUUGUACACACCGCCCGUCACACCAUGAGAGU